Myxocyprinus asiaticus (Chinese sucker) is the source of this 1023-nucleotide RNA transcript. It is a transcript of the gene named U3 small nucleolar ribonucleoprotein protein IMP3-like, with no coding region annotated. The transcript has 8 exons. NCBI's taxonomy places the organism in Eukaryota, Metazoa, Chordata, Actinopteri, Cypriniformes, Catostomidae. The record is from RefSeq and is a predicted model, not a curated record.
CAGAAUCUCACCGUAGAUGAAGAUUACAUGUGUUUCCGGUGGUUGCUAAUGUGAACAAGGUAAUCAGAAGUCAGUCACACACUUGGCAGCAAAUCUAGUACGUUUUAGUAAAAAAAAAAAAAUGGUCCGUAAAUUGAAAUUUCACGAGCAGAAGCUCUUGAAAAAAGUUGAUUUUAUUAACUGGGAGGUCGACAAUAACUUGCACGAGGUGAAAGUGCUGCGAAAAUACCAUAUUGAGAAGAGGGAAGAUUAUACCAAAUACAACAAACUAAGUCGAAAUAUCAGAGAACUAGCCCAGAAAAUAAGGGACUUGGAUGAGAAAGAUGGUUUCAGAGCUCAAAGCACAAUGCUCCUUUUGGAAAAACUUUACAGUAUCGGUUUGAUCCCCACCAAACAGAAUCUCUCCCUUGCAAAUGAUGUCAGUGCAUCCUCAUUCUGCAGGAGACGACUUCCCACAAUCAUGCUGAAGCUGCGCAUGGCUCAGAACCUGAAGACCGCCAUAACCUUCAUUGAACAAGGCCAUAUUCGUGUUGGACCUGAGAUCGUCACUGAUCCUGCAUGUCUUGUAACAAGCUGGUGAUAAAGCACAUUUCGAUUUGAUUUCUGACACCAAUUUCAAUUUUCACAUGAAGUGUAUGGAAGAUUUUGUGACAUGGGUGGACUCAUCCAAGAUCAAACAGCAUGUCAUGAACUACAAUGAGGAGCGGGAUGACUUUGACCUUAUGAUCUAAAGCACUUGCAUCCAAGUAUGGGAUGGAAUUGACUUGCCACCAGACGUGAUGGUCUAUGCACCAAAAGCAGCUUUUACAUCAUUAUUGUAAAUAAAAUGCAUACCCUGUCUGACAUAAAUUAUCUUUAACAUGUUGAGUGAAUGAAUGAGAGAGUGAAAUGCAUUUAAGUGUGACAUUUGUAUUGCAUGAAGUAUUUUCAAUUAAUAAUAUGUAAACAGUAAACCUUACAAUUGUCAUAAUUUUUACUCCGAAACCAACGUUACUUUUUUACAAAUAAAUCAAAUAAAAAAUA